Molecule: ribosomal RNA, 240 nt
Filed under: uncultured bacterium
Lineage: Bacteria
Description: partial 16S ribosomal RNA
Rfam family: Bacterial small subunit ribosomal RNA
Source: RNAcentral
UUUCCCUACGGGACGCAGCAGUGGGGAAUAUUGCACAAUGGGGGAAACCCUGAUGCAGCGACGCCGCGUGAGUGAAGAAGUAUCUCGGUACGUAAAGCUCUUUCAGCAGGGAAGAAAAUGACGGUACCUGACCAAGAAGCCCCGGCUAACUACGUGCCAGCAGCCGCGGUAAUACGUAGGGGGCAAGCGUUAUCCGGAUUUACUGGGUGUAAAGGGAGCGUAGACGGGCCAGCAAGUCUG